RNAcentral lists this ribosomal RNA (670 nucleotides) under Sphingomonas paucimobilis. RNAcentral's name for it is "bacterial SSU rRNA". It matches the Rfam family "Bacterial small subunit ribosomal RNA", at positions 45 to 762 of the family's 1533-position model. The record is from RNAcentral. Lineage: Bacteria; Pseudomonadati; Pseudomonadota; Alphaproteobacteria; Sphingomonadales; Sphingomonadaceae.
UGCCUAAACAUGCAAGUCGAACGAAGGCUUCGGCCUUAGUGGCGCACGGGUGCGUAACGCGUGGGAAUCUGCCCUUAGGUUCGGAAUAACAGCUGGAAACGGCUGCUAAUACCGGAUGAUAUCGCGAGAUCAAAGAUUUAUCGCCUGAGGAUGAGCCCGCGUUGGAUUAGGUAGUUGGUGGGGUAAAGGCCUACCAAGCCGACGAUCCAUAGCUGGUCUGAGAGGAUGAUCAGCCACACUGGGACUGAGACACGGCCCAGACUCCUACGGGAGGCAGCAGUGGGGAAUAUUGGACAAUGGGCGAAAGCCUGAUCCAGCAAUGCCGCGUGAGUGAUGAAGGCCCUAGGGUUGUAAAGCUCUUUUACCCGGGAAGAUAAUGACUGUACCGGGAGAAUAAGCCCCGGCUAACUCCGUGCCAGCAGCCGCGGUAAUACGGAGGGGGCUAGCGUUGUUCGGAAUUACUGGGCGUAAAGCGCACGUAGGCGGCUUUGUAAGUCAGAGGUGAAAGCCUGGAGCUCAACUCCAGAACUGCCUUUGAGACUGCAUCGCUUGAAUCCAGGAGAGGUCAGUGGAAUUCCGAGUGUAGAGGUGAAAUUCGUAGAUAUUCGGAAGAACACCAGUGGCGAAGGCGGCUGACUGGACUGGUAUUGACGCUGAGGUGCGAAAGCGU